Peromyscus maniculatus bairdii (prairie deer mouse) is the source of this 344-nucleotide non-coding RNA. The record is from the annotation of a RefSeq genome assembly. NCBI's taxonomy places the organism in Eukaryota, Metazoa, Chordata, Mammalia, Rodentia, Cricetidae.
GCUUUACUGUUGACAUUGUCCUGACCCAGUCUUCAGCUUCCUUGCCUGUGUCUCUAGGGCAAAAGGCAGCCAUCUCCUGCAGGGCCAGCGAAAGUGUCAUUGUAUCUGGUUAUAGUUAUAUCAACCUGUACCAACAGAAACUGGGACAGUCCUCCCCACUCCUCAUCUAUGGAGCAUCCAACCUAAAAUCUGGGGUCCCUGCCAGGUUCAGUGGCAGUGGGUCUGGGACAGACUUCACCCUCACCAUCCAUCCUGUGGAGGCUGAUGAUGCUGCAACCUAUCACUGUCAACAGACUAGGAAGCUUCCUCCCACAGUGCUCCAGGGCUCCACAAAAUCCUCCUAG